Molecule: ribosomal RNA, 620 nt
Filed under: Coniochaeta cymbiformispora
Lineage: Eukaryota; Fungi; Ascomycota; Sordariomycetes; Coniochaetales; Coniochaetaceae
Description: eukaryotic LSU rRNA
Rfam family: Eukaryotic large subunit ribosomal RNA
Source: RNAcentral
UUGACCUCGGAUCAGGUAGGAAUACCCGCUGAACUUAAGCAUAUCAAUAAGCGGAGGAAAAGAAACCAACAGGGAUUGCCCUAGUAACGGCGAGUGAAGCGGCAACAGCUCAAAUUUGAAAUCUGGCUUCGGCCCGAGUUGUAAUUUGUAGAGGAUGCUUUUGGUGAGGUGCCUUCUGAGUUCCCUGGAACGGGACGCCAGAGAGGGUGAGAGCCCCGUAUAGUCGGCCACCGAUCCUCUGUAAAGCUCCUUCGACGAGUCGAGUAGUUUGGGAAUGCUGCUCAAAAUGGGAGGUAUAUCUCUUCUAAAGCUAAAUAUAGGCCAGAGACCGAUAGCGCACAAGUAGAGUGAUCGAAAGAUGAAAAGCACUUUGAAAAGAGGGUUAAAUAGCACGUGAAAUUGUUGAAAGGGAAGCGCUUGUGACCAGACUUGUGCCGGGCUGAUCAUCCAGUGUUCUCACUGGUGCACUCGACCCGGCUCAGGCCAGCGUCGGUUUUCGCGGGGGGAUAAAAGCUUCGGGAACGUGGCACCUCCGGGUGUGUUAUAGCCCGUUGCUUAAUACCCCCGUGGAGACCGAGGUUCGCGCUCUGCAAGGACGCUGGCAUAAUGGUCAUCAGCGA